RNAcentral lists this ribosomal RNA (482 nucleotides) under uncultured bacterium. RNAcentral's name for it is "bacterial SSU rRNA". It matches the Rfam family "Bacterial small subunit ribosomal RNA", at positions 29 to 526 of the family's 1533-position model. The record is from RNAcentral.
AACGAACGCUGGCGGCAUGCUUAACACAUGCAAGUCGAACGGUAACAGGCCCGCAAGGGUGCUGACGAGUGGCGCACGGGUGAGUAACACGUGAAUAACCUGCCCAAAGCACUGGGAUAACAUAUCGAAAGAUGUGCUAAUACCGGAUGAAAUAUAUGACUGCAGGGAUGUAUAUUAAAGGAGCAAUCCGGCAAUGGAGGGGUUCGCGUCCCAUUAGGUAGUUGGUAAGGUAACGGCUUACCAAGCCAAAGAUGGGUAGCUGGUUUGAGAGAAUGAUCAGCCACACUGGAACUGAGAAACGGUCCAGACUCCUACGGGAGGCAGCAGUGAGGGAUAUUGCACAAUGGAGGGAACUCUGAUGCAGCAAUGCCGCGUGAGUGAAGGAGGCCCUAUGGGUUGUAAAGCUCUGUGGAUGGGGAAAAUAAUGAUGGUACCCAUUUAGAAAGCACCGGCUAACUACGUGCCAGCAGCCGCGGUAAUGU